Molecule: non-coding RNA, 61 nt
Organism: Caenorhabditis elegans
Lineage: Eukaryota; Metazoa; Nematoda; Chromadorea; Rhabditida; Rhabditidae
Source: Ensembl
AAAAAACUUGCUCCCGGUGAGGCUCGAACUCACGACCUUCAGAAUAUGAGACUGACGCGCU